RNAcentral lists this long non-coding RNA (3282 nucleotides) under Brassica napus (rape). RNAcentral's name for it is "long non-coding RNA (BNAP_LNC006950)". The record is from RNAcentral. Lineage: Eukaryota; Viridiplantae; Streptophyta; Magnoliopsida; Brassicales; Brassicaceae.
AAGGAAUCGAAUGGGAUGAAUUUAGGAGGGUUGUUUGUUAGAUUUUGUCUUUGUUAUAUUAUUAGCAUGAUCGUCAUCUUUCAAUCUUUAAUUCUUUUUGUUUGUUUUCCCUUUUAUAUAUAUACCUUCUUUUUGUCUUCAUUUUUAGAACAGUAUCUAUUGUGAAUCUUUACAAAUGUAUGUAACUUUUAUAAUCUUAUCAACUAAUGUCUUGUUAAAAGUAACGAUCUAUUAUCUGAAUGGUAUCUUAUGCAAAUAUAGUCAGUGACUCAGUAUAUUCACUUGUAGGGAANNNNNNNNNNNNNNNNNNNNNNNNNNNNNNNNNNNNNNNNNNNNNNNNNNNNNNNNNNNNNNNNNNNNNNNNNNNNNNNNNNNNNNNNNNNNNNNNNNNNNNNNNNNNNNNNNNNNNNNNNNNNNNNNNNNNNNNNNNNNNNNNUAAAUGCUUGAAAAUAUAUACAAAUAAUUAAACGUAAAUAUCUUAAAUAGUUAAAUAUACUCAAAACUCCAAAAAUACUUAAAUAAUUAUUAAUUCUCUGUCCAAAUAUUUAAACCAAACCUAUUUAAAUUGGUUAUCCAAAUCCGAACCAAAUCCUGAAAGAUUUGAACUGAACAUGAAAUUCCAAAAAGACCUGAAAACGAACCCGAACGUCCAUCGCUAAUCACUAUUAUAUAUAUAUCCUAUAUGUGUCAUCAUAGGUUACAAAAUAUGUGUUAUCAUAUAAUUAAUCAUAUUUUAUACGUACCAUCAAAUCAGUUUUCUUAUAAUUAAUAAUAUUUUAUACGUACAAUCAUAUAAAUAAUCACAUAAAUUAUAUUAUUAAAUUUAAUGUGAAAUAUAAAACCAUAAUUUAAGUUGGUGUUUGAAAUUGGGCUUUGUAUUAUAUUUUUCUUAUAUAUAUUGAAAAUAUUUUUAUAAUAGUUAUUGAAAAAUAUGUUAGUAAAAAUCAAGUUUUGAAUAUAUGUUUAUUUUUGAAUGAAUUUUUGAUAUAAAUCAAUUUUAAAUUAUUAUUUUGAUUUUAAUAUAUAUAUUAUCAAGUAAUAUAGACCCAUUACUUUUUAAUAUAAUGUAAUGGACUUCCAAAUUUUUAGUAACAUAAGCCCAUUAUUUUUUUUUCUAACUUACUACUAUUCAUGUUUCCAAACAGUACUAUUUUUAACUACUAUUCAUAUUGCCAAACAAUCUCAAUGUGUACUUCAACUUUAAUAAUAUAGAUGUUAUCUAAUCCAAAAGUUUAUCCAAAAUCUAAUGAGAUCUAAUUUAAUUUUUUUUAAAUGAUAUAAUAACAUAAAGACAAGAAACAGGAAUAUAAAAAAAAAGAAUUAUCGAAAUUCUGACGUAUGUAAUAACUAGGACAAACAAAACACACAACCUCGAACCUCCUCAACUCGAAAAAAAUAUCUGGCUGAUAUUUGUGGAAGAUAUUUAUCGAUGGCAAUGACGUGGCAAUGCUCAAACACGUGUAAAAGCGAAGCCAUGUGGACCUUUUCUUCCUUUCUUCAUCUCUUCUCCUCAUUCUCCUCCGAAGGCAAACAAAGUUUUUUGCUCUUUUCCUUAAGAGACGCAUCGAUGGAGAAUGAGUAUGGUGUGAAUAUUGUUUCUCUCGAGAUGGAUCGCGAUGCGGAGCCGUCGGGUGAAUCUGAGAGCGAGUCGACUCUCUCUAACUCGCCCGAGUCCGGUCUUACGGUCGAGAGCUCUCGUGGUGACGACGCUGACGCGAAGAAGAUGGUAUAACAAAUCUCCUGCUUGCUUACUUAUGCUAUGGUUCUCGAACUUUUUAAUGGUGGAAGUUAGCUUUGUUGUAUAUAUAUAUAUGGUAGGAAGCUUCAGAUCUGAUGCUAUGAUUAGGUCAUAUACACAUUAAUUUGAAAAAUUGAUUGGUUUUGUAUUGAAAAGUGAUUAGUCGCAUUGAGAAGUCAUUAUCUUUAAUAAAACUGAUUGGUAUGCUUCUUCUGAGUGAAUAGAGUCAUAUCAUCUUUGGCUUCUCAUCAAAAUGGUCGUUUUCUUGUAAAAUUGUCUGUGCAGGAGGAGUGUGGUGGAUGGACGAAUGAGAGACACAACUCGUAUCUUGAAUAUUUAGAGAACUCAUUCGUUAAGCAGUUGUAUUCCUUACUUGGAGGAGAGGAGAGGAGGAGACUCUCCACAGCUCGUGAUCUGCAGUCUAACUCUCACAUAUCGACUGAUGAUCAGGUUUUGUACUCUUCUUAAUGCUUCUUCCUCUGUAGCUCCCUUUUCUUAAUAGUCUAGUUGAAACUUACUACAUUUCUCUUUAUGCAGUUUACGGUACUACAAAAUGGUUGCCGCCAGAAGGUUAACUUCGGAAAGAAACGACCUCGUUUAGAGACGUCAUCAUCGAGACAGACUCCUCUGGGACAUGAGUAUUCUGCUCAAAGCACUGCAGGUAACGUUUUGCUUAGCCUAGGUUAGUCGAACUCUUCUUAGGAGUUGUAUGUUUGACAUCUUCCCUUUUUGUCCCUUUUCUGAAUUGUCUAAGAACUAGGCUGAUACUGUUUGAUUAGAUCAACACUUAAGUUAACUAUGCACUGAUUUCGAGUGGCUUUGCAGCAAUGGAUAUAUAUAUGAGAUCUUGUCUGAUAUUUAUUCACGCACUGACCCACACAUGAAUAUGUUUUGUUUAGAGCCUGUGUGCUUGUCUGAUUGAUAAAUACUCUAUUAUCAGUCCAAAGACUAAACUCUACCUCCUUUUUUUUUUGUUCUUGCAACUCCAGAGGCAUCAGGGCAGAAUUUCAGAGAAGAAGUAGGAGAGAAAGAAUGUAACUCAAGGGCGUCCAGGAAACGCAGAAGAGAAGCUAACUAUGAUGAUAGUUCACUGAAUGAUCAGGUAUAAAAUAUAAAAAAGAACACAUACUAAAACGACCUCUCUUGUAUUAUGCUGAAGAGGGUACUGCAUUUCUCAGGUUGUGCCGUAAGGAUGGUGAAGCAGCGCAUAGGAAGUGAAGUGUAGAUGACUUACUAUAAACAGAGAAAAGUAGCAACUGUGAGUGGUAAAUCAAAAUGUGGAGGGCUUUUGUUUGUUGUAUAGAAUGAGGCCAAAGAGAGCCUUAUUAAGGAAUCGAAUGGGAUGAAUUUAGGAGGGUUGUUUGUUAGAUUUUGUCUUUGUUAUAUUAUUAGCAUGAUCGUCAUCUUUCAAUCUUUAAUUCUUUUUGUUUGUUUUCCCUUUUAUAUAUAUACCUUCUUUUUGUCUUCAUUUUUAGAACAGUAUCUAUUGUGAAUCUUUACAAAUGUAUGUAACUUUUAUAAUCUUAUCAACUAAUGUCUUGUUA